Camelus dromedarius (Arabian camel) is the source of this 2648-nucleotide long non-coding RNA. RefSeq lists it as uncharacterized. The record is from RefSeq and is a predicted model, not a curated record. The transcript has 3 exons. Lineage: Eukaryota; Metazoa; Chordata; Mammalia; Artiodactyla; Camelidae.
UCCAGGGCUAUUUAUGAAGCCGGAAGUGACCGUGUAUGUCCCGCAAACAUUGUCCUCGGAUCAUGGUACGAGUCAGAGCCGCUAGCUGUUUGCUUCCUAGGGCAUAAGGACCGUCGCUGCUACCUUCAAACGUUUGCGUUAUUAACAUGCAUACCACUCUCCCACACAUUACCACUAGACCUGUCCUACGAGAAAUGCUCCAGGGACUCCUUCAGGUUGGAAGAAAAGGAUGCUACAUAGUAACUUGAAACCUUAUGAAGACAUCAAGAUCCUUGUUAAAGAAGCAACAUGGUGGAAAAGCUUCAUGGCGUUGGAUUUGGCAAUCACUUCUUGGAUAUGACACCAAAAGCACAGGCAACAAAAGAAAAAGUAGAUAAAGUGGACUUCAUCAAACUUGAAAACUUUUGUGCCUCAAAGGACACUAUCAAGAGAGUGGAAAAGCAACUUACAGGAUGGGAGGAAAUAUUUGCAAAUCAUAUUUCUGAUAAAGGAUUAAUAACCAGAAUAUAUGAAGAAGUCCUACAACUCAACAACAACCAAAAAACAACCCUGUUUAAAAAUGGACAGUGGACUUGAGUAUACAUUUCUCCAUUCCAAACCCUCCCUGCCAUGUUGAUUUCUACCCUUCUGUGGUAUUCCAGCAGCUGUGAUAAACAGGAGGAGGUCUGUGCCAGUUACCAAUUUAUUCCCUCUUGGCUCCAAUUUCACCCUUCAUUGCUUGUUAUGCAAAAGUGGAGCUGGACCAUUUAAUCUUUGUCUCCAGAGGGCUCUGGAGAGUAAUUAGAGGAGGAAGGGAUCUUCCUUCUCAUUCCGAUGUACCCUUUUAGCAGGCUCCUGCAGCGUGCCUGGGUUCCUCAGUGCCCAGCUCCUGCAGUGCAGAUGGCUUCUCUAGCACCAGGGUUCUGCAGCUCAGGUAGCUCCUCCAGAGCCCACUCUGGCGGUGACAGUGACCAGCGGCAUCCAGCAGCCAGUAGUUUCCCUCUGAAACACCCCCAACCCUUGGUUUGCUUUGUGGCAGGGUGCCUCCAUUGGGACACCUCUCCAUGAAUGACUUUUCUUGCACCCUAGAAAGUAGGUUUCUGGCCAGUUCUGGAGGGCAAAUUUCCAGCAACUACCAUUGGUAUAGCACCAGGUGACUUAUUUGCCCAAUUACCAAUGGCCACAUUCUCUCCAGUAAGGUCUGAAUCUCAGCCCUGGUGCUCUACCUCAGCCUUGCAGGUGAUGCAUGCACUGUAUCCGCUGAUCUUAUAUUCUUUAGAAUUCUCUUUACUUUUUACUAGCCAGUCCCUUUUUAUUCAAAUCCCGUUAUGGUUAAUAAUUCUCGAUAUUAAAAUUUAGCUGUUCAAAUUACUGUGUGGCUUCCAUCUCCCAAUUUGACCCUGACUGGUUCAGGGUCCCAGCCUAACUCAAUAAGGAAGAAAGACACCCAGCCUCUCACCAUCAGUCAGUAUGGCGUGCUAACCCAGCAGUGGGACAGAGUGCUGGGAGCAGUGGGUAAGAAGGUACCUGGAGGGCCCAUGAAGAUUGAGAGAAUUAAGCCAAAAGGAUGAGUAGGGGACCGGGGCACUCCAAAUUCAUCAUCAACGCCUCCUCUUGUCUUUCUCCCCACCCUCACUAAAUCGCCAAGUUAUGUCAGCUCUACCCCUCAAGACUGGUCCAUGCUUCCCCCCACCCGCCCCCACUGCCACUCCUCAGGCCAGGCCAUCAUCAUCUCUGGCUAAUUUAUUAUGAGGGCCCUCUAAUUGUCCUCUUUCCCUCCAGGCUUGCUCACUUCAGCCUGUUCUCCACAGUGAAGCCGUGGGGAUUCUUCUAAAAGGCAAAUUUGAGUCAAAAUGGUCCUUGAUUAAAAACUGUUGUUGGUGGCUGCCUCUUGCCCUGAGGACAAAACCUGAACUCCUCAUUUGACCACAAGGCUUGGAAAGAUCUGGCCUCUGCUCACCUCCCCAGUCUUAUCUUUUGCCACUCCUCCCUACAAGAUCCUUACUUUCCAGCCACAUGGAAGGCCAGUUUCCUUAGGGACCUUUAUAAGUACUGUUCCCUCUUCCUGGAAACCUUCUCUCUAGCUCCCCCCUCACCCUUUCACUCUCAUCUUUGCUUCCUUAGCUCAUCUUUAGCCUCAGCUAAGACAUCUACUCCUCUGAGAAGCCUUCCCAAACCCGUCUCUCUCCUGAUCUGCCAAGGCACCUCUCAUGUCAAGUUCAGUCAAAAUCCUGUACUUUUCUCGUAAUGCUUAACACAGUCUGAUCACUGUCUGUUAACAUGUAUGUCUCCUCACUACUGUGAGAUAAAAUGGCAAGACAAAGAAAAAUGUAAACAUAAAUCUUUUCUGUCCUUUGGCCUCCUCUCUCCCCUCUCCCCUCCACUGUGCACGGUGCACCUGCAGUUAUGCAUCAAUCCGACCUCCCCAUCAGAGGAAAUACCUGCUUGGCCAUAAAGAGCAACAUUCCCCAGCACCAACAAGACAAGUCCUUAAAAGAUAACAUUCCUUCUCGGUCUUGUAAGGGUUCACGGUGACCCACCCCUUGCCCUUGCAGAUCUGGGUUGUGUAAACUCCCAAGAAUAUGUCACUUAAUGCACAGCCUGCUGUCUCAAAAAACUUGUAUAAGUGUGCUUUGGCUUCUAACAGAGCAGGACAGUUCUUAGAGCUC